RNAcentral lists this ribosomal RNA (1336 nucleotides) under uncultured marine archaeon. RNAcentral's name for it is "partial 16S ribosomal RNA". It matches the Rfam family "Archaeal small subunit ribosomal RNA". The record is from RNAcentral.
UUGAUCCUGCCGGACCUGACUGCUAUCGGAUUGAUACUAAGCCAUGCGAGUCAUUGUAGCAAUACAAGGCAUACGGCUCAGUAACGCGUAGUCAACCUAACCUAUGGACGGGAAUAACCUCGGGAAACUGAGAAUAAUGCCCGAUAGAACAUUAUACCUGGAAUGGUUUAUGUUCCAAAUGAUUUAUCGCCGUAGGAUGGGACUGCGGCCUAUCAGUUUGUUGGUGAGGUAAUGGCCCACCAAGACUAUUACAGGUACGGGCUCUGAGAGGAGUAGCCCGGAGAUGGGUACUGAGACACGGACCCAGGCCCUAUGGGGCGCAGCAGGCGAGAAAACUUUGCAAUGUGCGAAAGCACGACAAGGUUAAUCCGAGUGAUUUCUGCUAAAGAAAUCUUUUGUUAGUCCUAGAAACACUAACGAAUAAGGGGUGGGCAAGUUCUGGUGUCAGCCGCCGCGGUAAAACCAGCACCUCAAGUGGUCAGGAUGAUUAUUGGGCCUAAAGCAUCCGUAGCCGGCUCUGUAAGUUUUCGGUUAAAUCUGUACGCUCAACGUACAGGCUGCCGGGAAUACUGCAUAGCUAGGGAGUGGGAGAAGUAGACGGUACUCGGUAGGAAGUGGUAAAAUGCUUUGAUCUAUCGAUGACCACCUGUGGCGAAGGCGGUCUACUAGAACACGUCCGACGGUGAGGGAUGAAAGCUGGGGGAGCAAACCGGAUUAGAUACCCGGGUAGUCCCAGCUGUAAACUAUGCAAACUCAGUGAUGCAUUGGCUUGUGGCCAAUGCAGUGCUGCAGGGAAGCCGUUAAGUUUGCCGCCUGGGAAGUACGUACGCAAGUAUGAAACUUAAAGGAAUUGGCGGGGGAGCACCGCAACCUGAGGAUUGUGCGGUUUAAUUGGAUUCAACGCCGGAAAACUCACCAUAGCCGACGGACAAAUGAAGGUCAGUGUAAUGAACUUACCGGAUUGUUCGAGAGGUAGUGCAUGGCCGCCGUCAGUUCGUACCGCAAGGCGUUCUGUUAAGUCAGAUAACGAACGAGACCCUCAUCUCUAUUUGCUAACUGGAUCUCCGGAUCCAGUGCACUAUAGGGAGACCGCUGGCGCUAAGUCAGAGGAAGGGGAGGGCAACGGUAGGUCAGUAUGCUCCGAAUGCUAUGGGCUACACGCGCAAUACAAAGGACAGGACAAUGGGCUGCUGCUCCGAAAGGAAUGAUAGCUAUCCCGAAACCUGUUCGUAGUUCGGAUUGAGGGCUGUAACUCGCCCUCAUGAAGCUGGAUUAGGUAGUAAUCGCGUCUCAAAAAGGCGCGGUGAAUAUGCCCCUGCUCCUUGCACUCACCGCC